RNAcentral lists this ribosomal RNA (274 nucleotides) under uncultured bacterium. RNAcentral's name for it is "partial 16S ribosomal RNA". It matches the Rfam family "Bacterial small subunit ribosomal RNA", at positions 523 to 796 of the family's 1533-position model. The record is from RNAcentral.
AUACGGAGGCUGCAAGCGUUAUCCGGAAUCAUUGGGUUUAAAGGGUCCGUAGGCGGGCUAAUAAGUCAGGGGUGAAAUCCCACAGCUUAACUGUGGAACUGCCCUUGAUACUGUUGGUCUUGAGUUACAGUGAAGUGGUUAGAAUGUGUAGUGUAGCGGUGAAAUGCAUAGAGAUUACACAGAAUACCGAUUGCGAAGGCAGAUCACUAACUGUAUACUGACGCUAAUGGACGAAAGCGUGGGGAGCGAACAGGAUUAGAAACCCGGGUAGUCC